Non-coding RNA from Cucurbita pepo subsp. pepo (vegetable marrow), 6011 nucleotides. The record is from RefSeq and is a predicted model, not a curated record. NCBI's taxonomy places the organism in Eukaryota, Viridiplantae, Streptophyta, Magnoliopsida, Cucurbitales, Cucurbitaceae.
CGUGGCUUCAGCUUCGAGAGGUGUCCUUCUUCUUCUUCUUCUCCUCCUCACUUCCCGCUAUACACUCUUCUGCUCAUGCUCGGUAUUCUGCUGAAUUUUUCUGUUUCUCUCUGUGAAGCGGAGCUUCCUGUGUGUUUGGACUGGGUUAUCACUUUCCUGUGAAAGGGCACCUCGUGAGCUUCAUGGGAAGCUUGCUGAGAGAUCCGGGCUUUAAUUUUCGAAGCGCCAGAUUGGAUUCUGCUGUUCCCGUCUUCUGAUUCAGAGACGGCCACCAUUUUUUUAGGGAUUUAAGGGGACUACAAAUGAGGUUUUGAUUCUAGCAUUUUGUUUUUUUGUGGAAAGAGGGGUUCCUUUGUGUUUUCCCUUACGUGCUGAAGCUGGGUUGAGCUUGUUGCAGUUUGCAUUGGAGUUUUCUUUUGGCUGCUAAUUAGGAUUCAGUUGGAGUAGCAUUUGGUUUGAAUGCUACCUUCAACUUACCCAGGUUUUUUGGGAUGGGUGAUUGGAAGUGUUUCGGUGAUGGAUUUUCUUCGUUUCUCAUGUUCUAAUUGGAGGAAAGUCGACGAGGUUUGGAAGUAAAUGUUUGAAAUGGGUUGGUUUAAAUAGAGUUAGAAUUUAACUUACCUACUUUAAAAUAGAAGGACCUCUCUUUGCCUAAACUGCGGGGUAUUUGGAAUUUAUAUAUCGUAAUUGCAGAGGUUGGAGCUUUCGUUGUCUGAUUCAUAUGCAAUAUAUUUAGAUUUGUUUCCUCAAUUAUCAAGAAAUUUCCCUACCAAAUGCAUUUGUAUUCUCAUCAUGACUAGAGCUGUCCGCGCUAGAAUUCUCAAGGAAGCAAAUGGUGAUAUUAGCGAUCAUCUGCGUAACCACAUUCACUUGACAAACUGCAUUCACUUGAAGAAUCACAUGCACAAGCACAGCCCCAUCUUGGCUGAGAGGUCUCUUAUGAGGGACCUCAUUGUCCUUCAGAGGUCGCGAUCUCUCAGGGACCCUUCUGCAAGUCCUCCCUCAUGGCAGUCUCCCUCAUUAACUGAUCUGCCACCGAGGGUGGGUGAAAAUAAUGCUGUGAUUCGUGAAGGAAGAAGGUCAGUAGGAACUGAGAGUCGAAGGGUAGGUAGAACAAUGUCAGGAAGUUCUCCACUCUCGGGAAGUUUUGCCACAUCAAAAGUCAUUCCGGCUGAUAUGAAUGUGGGUAUUGACAGGGUGACAGCAGUUAGUGAGCACAGUGUUAAGAGUGAAAUCCAAGAUGGUCGACGAAUUCGGAGAGAAGAGUUAAGUCGGAGGAGUGUUGGAAACAGUGUCUUGGAUGGCAAUGCAGAAUCAUCACCUGUUCAAGAUGCAUAUCUUCUGCACGAGAUUAUUUUUAGGAAAUCAGAAUCUAAAGAUAGGAGUGAACAGAAGGAUAAGCAGGUCAAGGGCAUUCCAUUUAAGAAACUAUCGGAGCAACUGAUUUCUGCUCCUAUACAUAGUGAGGACAUUGCGUCUUCAAGUGCUAAUGUAUAUGGGAGACGAUCUCAGCAAGAGAAAUUCAUUGAUGAACCUGAACCCAGCUUCCGUGGAAACUGCAGUGGAUUGGAUAGGGUAAAAAGGCGAAGAUUUCGAGCUACAAGGAGAAGUCAUAUGAAUUUAACUUCCAGAGACACUGGGGUUCACAAUGAAUUGUCUGUAGCUUCUAAUACAUUAGCUCAUGGUUCAUCUCAUUCAAAGCAUAAAAUGGAAGAGGAAAAUGAAAAUUAUGCCAACAAAAAUGUCAUGGGUGCUCCUGGAAAUGGGUGUGGAAUGCCUUGGAAUUGGUCAAGAAUUCAUCAUAGGGGGAAAACUUUUUUAGACAUGGCUGGAAGGAGUUUCUCUUGUGGCCUGUCAGACUCAAUGUUAAGAAAAUGCAGUCCAACUGCACAUGGGAACUGUAUUUCUGACACAUCCAUUGCAUCUGAUAACUCAAGCUCAUCUGCGAAGUUUGAUGCCGAGGCACUACCUUUACUGGUUGAGGCCUCUGGGUCCCAGGAAAGCAUUGAAAAUGCUGGCUGGCAACGAGAUUACUCUGGGGAAUUGGGAAUAUUUGCUGAUAAUUAUGUUGAACAUGAAGAGGAUUCCGACCUUGCUUCAGAAGCAAGGUGUAGUAACCGAAGAAGAACGCAAGGCCACUAUCCUCGUUCUAGACAUCAAAAUCUGACACAAAAAUACAUGCCACGAACAUUCAAAGGUUUGGUGGGACAAAAUUUAGUAGCCCAAGCUCUUUCAAAUGCUGUCUUGAAGAAGAAGGUGGGGUUACUAUAUGUGUUUUAUGGUCCUCAUGGUACAGGAAAAACAUCCUGUGCUCGCAUAUUUGCUAGAGCAUUGAACUGCCAGUCUUUGGAACAUUCCAAACCCUGUGGGUUAUGCAAUUCUUGCAUUGGAGAUGACGUGGGAAAGAGCAGGAAUAUAAGGGAAGUUGUUCCUGCGAGUAAUCUAGACUUUGAGAGCAUUAACGAACUACUUGACCAUAUGAUAGCUUCUCGGCUCCCAUCACAGUAUACAGUGUUCAUUUUUUAUGAUUGUGACAGCUUUUCCUCUAAUUGCUGGAGUGCCAUCACAAAGGUCAUUGACCGAGCACCUCGACGUCUAGUUUUUGUUUUUGUCUGUUCAAGUCCAGAUGUUUUACCUCAUAUAAUCAUAUCCAGGUGCCAGAAAUUUUUUUUCCCAAAGCUGAAGGAUGCUGAUGUCAUCCGUACUUUGCAGUGGAUUGCUACCCAAGAAAAUUUAGAAAUUGAUAAAGAUGCACUAAAACUUAUCGCAUCAAGAUCUGAUGGAUCAUUGAGGGAUGCCGAAAUGACUCUUGAGCAGCUCAGUUUACUUGGCCAGAGAAUUUCUGUUCCUCUAAUUCAGGAGCUAGUUGGGCUCAUUUCUGACGAAAAAUUGGUGGAUCUUCUUGAUCUAGCUCUAUCUGCUGAUACUGUAAACACUGUGAAAAACUUGAGGCUGAUAAUUGAAAGUGGUGUGGAGCCAAUGGCAUUGAUGUCACAAAUUGCAACUGUAAUUACUGAUAUUCUUGCUGGUAGUUAUGAUUUCAAAAAAGAAAGACCUCGAAGGAAGUUUUUCCGACGUCAACCAUUAUCCAAAGAAGAUAUGGAAAAGCUACGUCAAGCUCUGAGAACAUUGUCUGAAGCUGAGAAGCAAUUAAGAAUGUCGAAUGAUAAAUUAACCUGGCUUACAGCUGCAUUACUUCAACUUGCUCCUGAUCAGCAGUAUAUGUUAUCCAGUUCUGCGGAGACUAGCUUUAACCACAGUCCCUUGGCCCUGAAUAAUGUGAAUGGCAGGGGUUUAUCAAGGAACGCUGACCAGCUUGCUGAAAUACCUCAGAAAGGAUUGUCAACAGAUUUAUAUGACAAUAGAAUGGCCGAAGGCAUCAGUUUAGACAAAAAAAGACAUUCUGGAGUUGGUGUGGCUCCUCAGCAGACAAUUGCAAGCGCUGAUGAUUUAAUCAAGUCUAGUGGAAAGCAGGUUUCUGGUAAAGAUAUUGAAGAAAUUUGGUUGGAGGUGCUAGGAAAAAUUCGGAGAAAUAGUAUUAAAGAAUUUUUUAUUCAAGAAGGGAAGCUUGCAUCAGUGAGUUUUGGUGCAGCACCAACUGUGCGCUUGAUAUUCAAUUCACAUCAUGCAAAAUCAAAAGCAGAGAAAUUGAGAGAGCAAAUCUUACAAGCAUUUGAGUCUGCUCUUGGGUCAUCAGUGAUAAUUGAAUUUAGAUGUGAAUUGAAAAAUCAUUCAUCAGUUACUCUACCUGCCUCCAAGAAUGGUUUGUUACAUAUUAGGGACAUGAGCAGUUGUGAGCCUCAAGCUCAGUUAUCACACUACGGUUCCGGUGAAGUUGGAAGAGGUGAAAUUGUUGAAAUAGAUGCUUUACCAAGGGUAGCCCAUAAUCAAAGAGAAUCGAAUCAUAGGAAUUUGGAAGGUUCACAGGGAGAAGUAUCAGUCUCACGCAGGAACUCGACCAUGUCAUCAAUUUCAGAAACAAGAGAAGGUGGAGCUCAAAGUCAGAGUCAAAGUAUUGUGAGAAGCAAAGUAUCUCUGGCACAUGUUAUUCAGCAGGCAGAAGGAUGUUCACAGAGAAAUGGACGGUCCAAACACAAGACUGUAUCUAUAGCUGAAGAACUUGAGCAGGAAAACUUGAGACUUGAACCUCAAUCAAGAAGCUUAUUAUGCUGGAAAGCAUCUAGAGUUACUCAAAGAAAGCUUUCACGGUUAAAAAUCAGAACUCGAAGGCCACAGUCAUUGCUGAAAUUCGUCUCGUGUGGGAAAUGUCUCUCUGCUUAGUUGGGCAAGGUUUCAUUUUCACUCCCAUCUUCCUCAGGAUGUGUGGUAGCUUUCCUACCCAUGCCAUGAGGAAUUGAACAGGAGCCCCAGUUAACCUUAUAACAUAAUGAAUAUUGAGCAUAUGUAUAUACUUUUCCUCCAGGAAUCCAUGAAUAUGAUGAUGCAAGUAAACGUGGGGAAAUUAGUCUUUCUUCUUCCAGAGCAUUUGCACAGAAUACACAAGUAGUUCUAACUUGCUCUUCCUUUUCAGGAUGCCAAGCAAUUCUAUACCUUCAAACAAUCACAGUGCAUGAGAACUGCUUUUGGUAUAUAAACAAAGCUUCUCUGCUGCUACAUACACUCACUAACCGUUAAAGUUCUUCGUUGAAGGCUUGAAACAUUAUUGGCUCCAGGCUGCCGUCAAGUGGGGUGAAAUUGAGUGUACAAGAACUGUUUUUCAAUAUUUUUGUAUAAGAAUAGUAAUACAACAUUUGUCUGCAAGUUAUACAACAAGUUUAUUAGAAAGUGUUAUCCAAUGGGCUUGAAAAGUCUUAAAAGAAUUUGAAAUCUAAGAAGCAAACCAUUGGUUCUAAAAGUACCACUUAGGAACCAUACAAGAGGAAGAGUGGACACCACAACUUUCAACCGCCAACAUCCAACAUUGACUGAUAUGAAAUUGUCUAUUAAUAGUUCGAUUGAAGCUUAUCAGGGACGAUUAUUCACUAAAACCACUUUCUGGAGAGCUAUUUCUUGCCAUAAUCUGCAAGAAGAUCACAGCACUUGUUGAGUGAAGCUGAAAAGCAAUGGUCAAAUUGUCACAUCGUCUAUGUAUGACUCUGAGGCUACGUAGGUCGUUGGACUAUUUCAACUACUGCAUGCCCAUUAUAUUGUCGACUCAACAAAACUAGUACCCUCCACCAACUGAUAGAGAUUCAUUCAUGCGGAAGUCCCCACAAGGGUUUGUCUUCAUCAUCUUCAUACUGAAUAUGAUCAUAUAUUUGGUUUCCUGUCUCGCUUAUUCUUUAUUAUGAACUGUGAUUUUACAUGUACUUUUAAACUAACCUUUACCAACUACUAAUUAUAGGUCUAGAAAACAUUCUUUCCUGUAGAUCAAAACCAAAUCAACUUUAAUGCUUGAUAGGGGUAACCUCAGAGUGCAAUGGAGCAAUCUACUUGGCGAAAGCCACUCUUCAUUUUAAGCCCAGAAAAGGUUCAUAAUCUCCAUGGGAAAAUUUACAGCCCUCCGGCUGAAGCCAGUUAACUUACUAAAUUACUUGUAUUCAGCUUUAGACUAAAGGCAAAAGUCGGAACAUCUAUAAGUGAUGGAAAAAAACAAUAAAGCUGAAAGACAGGAAACCCAAUAAAAUUCCAUCACCAAAGUUUGACAAGGAUUUCCCAGAAACAGUUCAAUCCAAAACUAGAACUAAGGGCUCUCCUAGUUGAUAUAUGGCGUUAAAUGUAGAAAAGAAACCCCUUUUUUCCCCAUGUCUGCCUUCUCAACAGGUGUUUGUGAUAAUGACACACAGCCAACUGCCAAUUCUUAUACCUUCUGUGAGUUGGAGCCUAUAUGCACUAGGCGAGAUGAAAAUUAAGGAAAUAGGUUCCUUUUCUUUUUCUGUUGUCCUGUUUUUUUUUUUUUAAGUUUCCUUUUAAUUCCUUGUUAUAUUGAAAACUGUCCACAAAAGUGAUAAAAAGUGGGCAAGUGGUCACAGGAUUUAUGGCGGGCCUUUCUUUUGAAAAAACAGCAAAAA